Non-coding RNA from Benincasa hispida (wax gourd), 983 nucleotides. The record is from RefSeq and is a predicted model, not a curated record. NCBI's taxonomy places the organism in Eukaryota, Viridiplantae, Streptophyta, Magnoliopsida, Cucurbitales, Cucurbitaceae.
AUAUAUAAAAUAACACAAAAGUUUCGGUGAUUGUGUUCGAUUAAAGGAGAGAUGGUUGGCAUCUCCCCUGACAGGGUCGGGAACAGCCUUCGGGCUUCCCUGUUAACACAAACGGUUAAGGCUACCCACCUCUUGUAGGUGGAUCUAACCCAAUUUUUUUUUCUUCUUUUGCAGGUUAAUAAUGGAGAUGGCGAGAAGAAGGUAAGAGGCCAACGAAUGAAGCAAUGAGAUCGUAGUAGGAACUCAUCAUAUUUGGAUUCAUACUUGAAUCCUGCUUUCAGGCUUUAAUCAAUGAUCCAGAUCAAAGACGCAAGGAACAAUGGGCGCAGACUGGACGGAAUUAUGGUAGAUUUGCUUGGAUUUGGUGACCUUGCUGGACCUCCUUCAAAUUUCUUGUUUGUUUUCAUGUCUUUAUAUAUAUAUAGUGGUCUGCUAUCCUCCACCCACACAGUCAACAGGUAUCUUCUGUGGAAGUGUAGAAAGGGAGUUGGAAGGACCUAAAGAUAUCAAUUGAUGUAGCAAGAAAAUGAAAAUGGGUUUGCUUUAGUUUGUGUAAAAACGUUUUAAUAGAAGAGAGCAAAAAUGUGCCCGCAACAAAGAAAUAGAGGAUGUUGGAAUAAUUUUCAUCAUACUACUCAAUCAUAGCAAAAUUGAGAAAUAGUUCUUUGCUCAAGCUGGCUUUCUCUGCCCUGCUUUGAGGAAUCCUUCUGACCAUUUUCUUAAAUGCAUCAAUUCAGACUUUGAUAAAGAAAAGGCCACUCUCAAAGGUUCUAUCGUUCAUCACAACAUUGUUAUGCGGCAUUAGAAAAAGUUGAGGAGAUGUCAAUUUGAACGAUUUGUUAAAAGAAGACGAAUUCUUGUAGGCCCAAAUUCCUCGACUUUAAAGGUUCAUAUAAGCUUUCUCUCAUUUCAUACUUCAUUUUUUCAGAAUAUUGAUUCGGGAUUGGACUAACCUAUAAACUAAGAAAAAGAAAUUAAUACAA